RNAcentral lists this ribosomal RNA (497 nucleotides) under uncultured bacterium. RNAcentral's name for it is "partial 16S ribosomal RNA". It matches the Rfam family "Bacterial small subunit ribosomal RNA", at positions 28 to 507 of the family's 1533-position model. The record is from RNAcentral.
GAUGAACGCUGGCGGCGUGCUUAAUACAUGCAAGUCGAGCGAACAGACGAGGAGCUUGCUCCUCUGACGUUAGCGGCGGACGGGUGUGUAACAUGUGGAUAAUCUACUUAUAAGUCUGGUAUAAUUUCGGGAAACCGGAGCUAAUCGCGGAUAAUAUAUUGAACCGCAUGGUUCAAUAGUGAAAGACGGUUUUGCUGUCACUUAUAGAUGGAUCCGCGCCGCAUUGGCGAGUUGGUAAGGUAACGGCUUUCCUAGGGGACGAGGCGUAGCCGACGUGCGAGGAUGAUCGGCCGCACGGGAAGUGGGACGGGCACCAGGCGCCUGCGGGAAGGAGCAGUAGGGCAUCGGCCGCAAUAGGCGGGAACCUUGCGAAACGGGGCCGAGUCAGUGGUGAAGAUCUUCGGAUCGUGAAACUCUGUUAUUGGGGAAGAACAAAUGUGUAAGUGACUGUGCACGUCUUGACGGUACCUGAUCAAAAAGCCACGGCUAACUACGUG